GUCUUCGUGGUGUAGUGGUCAGCACGCUCGACUCGUAACCGAGAGGACCGUGGUUCGAUUCCCUGCGAAGGAG
This 73-nucleotide transfer RNA is filed under the name Stegodyphus mimosarum. It matches the Rfam family "tRNA". From Rfam's summary of the family: Transfer RNA (tRNA) molecules are approximately 80 nucleotides in length. Their secondary structure includes four short double-helical elements and three loops (D, anti-codon, and T loops). The record is from Rfam by way of RNAcentral. Lineage: Eukaryota; Metazoa; Arthropoda; Arachnida; Araneae; Eresidae.